CAGUAGCCACGGGAAAACGGAGGGUGCAAGCGUUAUCCGGAUUUAUUGGGUUUAAAGGGUCCGUAGGCGGAUCUGUAAGUCAGUGGUGAAAUCUCACAGCUUAACUGUGAAACUGCCAUUGAUACUGCAGGUCUUGAGUAAAUUUGAAGUGGCUGGAAUAAGUAGUGUAGCGGUGAAAUGCAUAGAUAUUACUUAGAACACCAAUUGCGAAGGCAGGUCACUAAGAUUUAACUGACGCUGAUGGACGAAAGCGUGGGGAGCGAACAGGAUUAGAUACCCGUGUAGUCCCUGUCUCUUAUAC
This 301-nucleotide ribosomal RNA is filed under the name uncultured bacterium. RNAcentral's name for it is "partial 16S ribosomal RNA". It matches the Rfam family "Bacterial small subunit ribosomal RNA", at positions 509 to 807 of the family's 1533-position model. The record is from RNAcentral.